This 497-nucleotide ribosomal RNA is filed under the name uncultured bacterium. Its description in RNAcentral is "partial 16S ribosomal RNA". It matches the Rfam family "Bacterial small subunit ribosomal RNA", at positions 28 to 507 of the family's 1533-position model. The record is from RNAcentral.
GAUGAACGCUGGCGGUGUGCCUAAUACAUGCAAGUCGAGCGAACAGACGAGGAGCUUACUCCUCUGACGUUAGCGGCGGACGGGUGAGUAACACGUGGAUAACCUACCUAUAAGACUGGGAUAACCUCGGGAAACCGGAGCUAAUACCGGAUAACAUGUUGAACCGCAUGGUUCAACAGUGAAAGACGGUCUUGCUGUCACUUAUAGAUGGAUCCGCGUCGCAUUAGCUAGUUGGUAAGGUAACGGCUUACCAAGGCAACGAUGCGUAGCCGACCUGAGAGGGUGAUCGGCCACACUGGAACUGAGACACGGUCCAGACUCCUACGGGAGGCAGCAGUAGGGAAUCUUCCGCAAUGGGCGAAAGCCUGACGGAGCAACGCCGCGUGAGUGAAGAAGGUCUUCGGAUCGUAAAACUCUGUUAUUAGGGAAGAACAAAUGUGUAAGUAACUAUGCACGUCUUGACGGUACCUAAUCAGAAAGCCACGGCUAACUACGUG